GCCAGACGCGUGCCCGACACGGACAGUUGGGGUAUCGACCGUUGGACUAUUGUGAUGAUUUUUUUUUAUCACGGCGGGAAAGGUAGAGGUCACGUGACCCCAGCCAAGUGCAGCCAAAGAAUGGUGCUCAGCUGAUUUUGUUGCCAUCAUGUAAGUUGAGAAGAUCUACAUUUUCCCAUGUUUGACAAUGAGCUUCCAAGCCAUAAAGGUCUUUUCAGAUACAAGUGAUUGAUGUUUGGGGUUAUUGCAACACCCGAGGCCUGUCAGCAUGUGAUCCAGCAAGUUCUACAUGGUUGUGAAGAAUCUGGAACGUGUCCUUACAUUUGCUCGGCCCAUUUGAAAUGAUUGUGCAGAAAUCUACCUGACCGCUUCUUUUCUCCAGUUUCUGCUCCUUUUUUGUAACAGAGAAGAAUAAGAGAAAAGGUAAAAGACAAUAGCUGCUGGACAAAAUACUACUGACUUUCCAUGUGAAAAGCUGCUGUAAUGUGUGGCCAUUGUGCUGGGGUGAGACACAGUAGGUGUGAUACAAUAACACCCGGCUUAAAGAUCUCCACGGUGGAGUCUCCUAGGCCCAACUUUCUGAAUAACAUUUUUCUUUAUUUUACAAGUUCAGCAAACAUGUAAUCACUUCUUGAUCACACUGAUAUCUGCUGACAUCCCAUCUUCUGUAACCAUGGAAAUAUCAGAUGCUUCUAAUUACUGCAAGAGCUUCUUAUGUUCCAUACAUGAAUAUGUAUAUCUCGGCGUUAGAAACAAAGAACCAACUUCCAGUAAGGGAUUAUUUGCAAAUACGGUAGUUCCUUUAAUAUUCUGGUAAACAGUGUUUAAAAUGUAUACUCCUUUAUAUCUUAUUCCUCCAAAAAUUUGCUAAUUUCCUGAAACAAAAAAAUAUGGAACUACAGUAAUACUACCUACCUCCUAUGUAUACAUAUUUGACUAAAAUAAUGCUGACUUCUAUGUACAAAAAUAUAGAAAAGUUUGCAUACUCCUGGAUAAUUGGUAAUAAAUGUACAGAAUUGUCUCCUAAAUUCAUCCUUUUAUCUCAAGUGAUUUUUUUCAAAAGUGACUUGAUAGACAUUUUGCACUAGUCAAAAAUUUAUGUGCAAAUAUAAAAAAAAUUCAACUGUAGGUUAUAACAGAAUGGCACAUUCAUAAACAAAAACAGGCAACAAAUAAAAAAUGA
Hyla sarda is the source of this 1183-nucleotide long non-coding RNA. RefSeq lists it as uncharacterized. Lineage: Eukaryota; Metazoa; Chordata; Amphibia; Anura; Hylidae. The transcript has 4 exons. The record is from RefSeq and is a predicted model, not a curated record.